RNAcentral lists this ribosomal RNA (73 nucleotides) under Odontoschisma denudatum. RNAcentral describes it as "partial 26S ribosomal RNA". It matches the Rfam family "Eukaryotic large subunit ribosomal RNA", at positions 1 to 73 of the family's 3401-position model. RNAcentral also lists the same sequence under 9 other names. Lineage: Eukaryota; Viridiplantae; Streptophyta; Jungermanniopsida; Jungermanniales; Cephaloziaceae. The record is from RNAcentral.
GGACCUCAGAUCAGGCAAGAUUACCCGCUGAGUUUAAGCAUAUCACUAAGCGGAGGAAAAGAAACUAACUAGG